UAGCUUAAUUAAAGCUCUCCGCUUACACCGAAGAAAUAUCUGUGAAACUCAGAUCAUCUUGAG
RNAcentral lists this transfer RNA (63 nucleotides) under Clinotarsus alticola (Assam Hills frog). RNAcentral's name for it is "partial tRNA-Val". The record is from RNAcentral. Lineage: Eukaryota; Metazoa; Chordata; Amphibia; Anura; Ranidae.